Molecule: long non-coding RNA, 295 nt
Filed under: Triticum aestivum (bread wheat)
Lineage: Eukaryota; Viridiplantae; Streptophyta; Magnoliopsida; Poales; Poaceae
Description: long non-coding RNA (TAES_LNC000748)
Source: RNAcentral
GUUGGGGUGCAGAGCCGCACGAAGCACUGGGCGGGCAUGGGGGUGGUAGGGUUCUUCUUCCUCUUCUCCUCCUGCUCCCUCCCUUCUCUAAAUCCCUCUUUCAUCUCGUGCUAGGUACAUGAGGCUGGCAGGGCUGACCGACCUAGAGGAGAAGGGAACGCAUUCAGGAGCUGGUACCAAGAGGGGAUCAAAGAAGAGGAACAUGAAGAAGGAGAGACAGAAAUGAACCUGCAGAUAAUCGCAUCCGGCGUUCCCAGCAGCGGCUCCACGCCUCCCCCGCUCCUCCUGCCGUGUG